GAAAUGCGAUAAGUAAUGUGAAUUGCAGAAUUCCGUGAAUCAUCGAAUCUUUGAUCGCACAUUGCGCCCUCUGGCAUUCCGGGGGGCAUGCCUGUCCGAGCGUCAUUACGCACCCUCAAGCCCGGCUUGUGUGAUGGGCCCUGGCGUCUCGUUCGCGAGACGGGCCCGAAAGGCAGCGGCGGCGUCGACCCGAUGAGCCCGAGCGUAUGGGGACUUUUAUCACACGUUUGCGGUGCGGACCGGCGCCUGCUUGACUUUUCUGAAUAUCCAGGUUGACCUCGGAUCAGGUAGGGAUACCCGCUGAACUUAAGC
RNAcentral lists this unclassified non-coding RNA (312 nucleotides) under plant metagenome. RNAcentral's name for it is "partial contains 5.8S ribosomal RNA, internal transcribed spacer 2, and large subunit ribosomal RNA". The stretch from base 1 to 105 matches the Rfam family "5.8S ribosomal RNA", at positions 50 to 154 of the family's 154-position model. The record is from RNAcentral.